UGACCUCGGAUCAGGUAGGGAUACCCGCUGAACUUAAGCAAC
RNAcentral lists this ribosomal RNA (42 nucleotides) under Acrocalymma vagum. RNAcentral's name for it is "partial 28S ribosomal RNA". Lineage: Eukaryota; Fungi; Ascomycota; Dothideomycetes; Pleosporales; Acrocalymmaceae. The record is from RNAcentral.